Eleginops maclovinus (Patagonian blennie) is the source of this 671-nucleotide long non-coding RNA. RefSeq lists it as uncharacterized. The transcript is spliced from 3 exons. NCBI's taxonomy places the organism in Eukaryota, Metazoa, Chordata, Actinopteri, Perciformes, Eleginopidae. The record is from RefSeq and is a predicted model, not a curated record.
CUCCACCUUCUUCCUCAGGUAUCGCUGGUUCAGCUUCCAAAUGCAGGAGAUGAAGGAGUUUUUCUCAGCUGUACUGCUGGCCACCCACCGGUACACCUUCUCAAAGUGAAGGUCAAACUCAGGAUUUUCCUAAACAAAAAAGGAAAAAGCAAGCAUAUGAUCAAUAAAUGAGGGGAAAAGGAUACAGAAUGAGAGCUGAACAAGACGUUAACAAUGCCCAGGAGACGCUCAUCGUUGGGUGUGAAGAUGUCCCUCUGGAGAGCAUGCUUGAUGGCUGUCAUGGUGGAUGCUGUCAUACAGAAAGCCCACCAGCCCUCUGCAAAGCACCGCCCUCUCUUCCUGGUUCACAGGCGGAGCGGUCAUGUGACAGUCACAGUGUCAACAUCCACUGAUCCACCCACAGAGGCAAUAACCAUACAGUUUACUAUGGCAAAAACACAUUAAACAACCUCAUUAUGAUUUCUGCAAAGUUUUACACUCAUACAUUUUCAUGUUCUGAGAAAAGUAUGCAAACUAUACUUAGAGAAAAACAUAUUUGAUUAAUGUAUCUAUUGUGUAUGCAUGUAUAUUAUAUGUAUACAAACAAUUGUAUAUUGAUCCCUUUUAUCAUCUCUUUUUUGCCCUUUCAACAAAACAUUUGAUAUGCUAAAUAAAGAAUACUGUAUCCUGUU